This 484-nucleotide ribosomal RNA is filed under the name uncultured bacterium. RNAcentral's name for it is "partial 16S ribosomal RNA". It matches the Rfam family "Bacterial small subunit ribosomal RNA", at positions 30 to 507 of the family's 1533-position model. The record is from RNAcentral.
AUUGAACGCUGGCGGCAGGCCUAACACAUGCAAGUCGAGCGGAUGAAGGGAGCUUGCUCCUGGAUUCAGCGGCGGACGGGUGAGUAAUGCCUAGGAAUCUGCCUGGUAGUGGGGGAUAACGUCCGGAAACGGGCGCUAAUACCGCAUACAUCCUGAGGGAGAAAGUGGGGGAUCUUCGGACCUCACGCUAUCAGAUGAGCCUAGGUCGGAUUAGCUAGUUGGUGGGGUAAAGGCCUACCAAGGCGACGAUCCGUAACUGGUCUGAGAGGAUGAUCAGUCACACUGGAACUGAGACACGGUCCAGACUCCUACGGGAGGCAGCAGUGGGGAAUAUUGGACAAUGGGCGGAAGCCUGAUCCAGCCAUGCCGCGUGUGUGAAGAAGGUCUUCGGAUUGUAAAGCACUUUAAGUUGGGAGGAAGGGCAGUAAGUUAAUACCUUGCUGUUUUGACGUUACCAACAGAAUAAGCACCGGCUAACUUCGUG